GGCCCGUGUAGUAAUACGAUACAGUAAUCACACAUUCAGCUGAAGACGGGUUCGCAAAAAAAGAAUAUCGAUGGUCAACAAUAAUACAUCGCUCAAGGUGAAUAAUUAUCUAUUUUAACAUAACAACUAAUUUCAACAGUAAAAACAAAUAACAAAACAUUGUCCAAUUUGAAACAGGAGUGUGCGAGUAGUCCUACGCUUCAGACUCG
Molecule: long non-coding RNA, 209 nt
Filed under: Mytilus galloprovincialis (Mediterranean mussel)
Lineage: Eukaryota; Metazoa; Mollusca; Bivalvia; Mytilida; Mytilidae
Source: RNAcentral